Long non-coding RNA from Ixodes scapularis (black-legged tick), 197 nucleotides. RefSeq lists it as uncharacterized. The record is from RefSeq and is a predicted model, not a curated record. The transcript has 3 exons. NCBI's taxonomy places the organism in Eukaryota, Metazoa, Arthropoda, Arachnida, Ixodida, Ixodidae.
CGGGAGGUGCUGUAGGGCCCUACUGCCUAACACUUGCUGACGAGGACAUCCUUGCAAAGAAUGAGAUCGUGGAUCCUAGCAUCGGCCUCCAGAAAAGGAAGGAAUGAUCCAUGUCGGGCAAGGUGUGCACGUCAACCAGGAAUGCGGGCAACAUGCGGAAAGCAGAGUGUGACUCCAUGUUUUGCAAGAUCACUGCU